This 53-nucleotide non-coding RNA is filed under the name Ixodes scapularis (black-legged tick). RNAcentral describes it as "Guanidine-II sequence". It matches the Rfam family "Guanidine-II riboswitch aptamer (mini-ykkC)". Rfam says of the family: Simpler in structure and has fewer highly conserved nucleotide positions than the ykkC-yxkD leader. Lineage: Eukaryota; Metazoa; Arthropoda; Arachnida; Ixodida; Ixodidae. The record is from RNAcentral.
CCUCGAGGACGACCUCGAGGACGACCUCGAGGACGACCUCGAGGACGACCUCG